This 460-nucleotide ribosomal RNA is filed under the name uncultured bacterium. RNAcentral's name for it is "partial 16S ribosomal RNA". It matches the Rfam family "Bacterial small subunit ribosomal RNA", at positions 338 to 795 of the family's 1533-position model. The record is from RNAcentral.
CCUACGGGUGGCUGCAGUGAGGAAUAUUGGUCAAUGGACGAGAGUCUGAACCAGCCAAGUAGCGUGAAGGAUGACUGCUCUAUGGGUUGUAAACUUCUUUUAUAUGGGAAUAAAAUGUUCCACGUGUGGGAUUUUGUAUGUACAAUAUGAAUAAGGAUCGGACAACUCCGUGCAAGCAGCCGCGGUAAUACGGAGGCUCCGAGCGUUAGCGGGAUUGAUUGGGUUUAAAGGGAGCGUAGGUGGAGUGUUAAGUCAGUUGUGAAAGUUUGCGGCUCAACCGUAAAAUUGCAGUUGAAACUGGCAGUCUUGAGUACAGUAGGGGUGGGCGGAAUUCGUGGUGUAGCGGUGAAAUGCUUAGAGAUCGCGAAGAACUCCGAUUGCGAAGGCAGCUCACUGGACUGCAACUGACACUGAGGCUCGAAGGUGUGGGUAGCAAACGGGAUUAGAUACCCCUGUAGUC